UNGGUAUUAACCAAGCAGCCUGGAGUUC
This 28-nucleotide non-coding RNA is filed under the name Mus musculus (house mouse). The record is from RNAcentral. Lineage: Eukaryota; Metazoa; Chordata; Mammalia; Rodentia; Muridae.